GGAUUAGAUACCCUGGUAGUCCUAGCUGUAAACGAUGGAUACUAGAUGUGGGAACUGGAUUCACGGUUUCCGUAUCGUAGCUAACGCGUUAAGUAUCCCGCCUGGGGAGUACGGCCGCAAGGCUAAAACUCAAAGGAAUUGACGGGACCCCGCACAAGCGGCGGAGCAUGCGGCUUAAUUCGAUGAUACCCGUAGAACCUUACCUGGACUUGACAUAUAGAGUCUAGCCAUAGAAAUAUGGUGUGCAUUAGCGCUCUAUACAGGUGGUGCAUGGCUGUCGUCAGCUCGUGCCG
This 293-nucleotide ribosomal RNA is filed under the name uncultured bacterium. RNAcentral describes it as "partial 16S ribosomal RNA". It matches the Rfam family "Bacterial small subunit ribosomal RNA", at positions 775 to 1067 of the family's 1533-position model. The record is from RNAcentral.